AACCCAUAGUGAGGGCACCUUUUCAACAUAUCCUUGUAUCUCUCCAAUGCAUCGUAGAGUGUUUCUAGAUCCAUCUGCACAAAAGAAGAGAGAUCAUUCCUUAAUUU
This 107-nucleotide small nucleolar RNA is filed under the name Gossypium barbadense (sea-island cotton). Its description in RNAcentral is "Plant small nucleolar RNA R71". It matches the Rfam family "Plant small nucleolar RNA R71". Rfam says of the family: R71 is a member of the C/D box family of snoRNAs containing the C (UGAUGA) and D (CUGA) box motifs. The record is from Rfam by way of RNAcentral. Lineage: Eukaryota; Viridiplantae; Streptophyta; Magnoliopsida; Malvales; Malvaceae. RNAcentral also lists the same sequence under 1 other name.